UCUGAAUUCUCCUCUAAAUUCAGAGACAAAACCUACCCUCCUCGUAUCUCUAUAGUGUUGCUGGAGUUCGCCGCCGGCGACAACGCCACCUACGCAAACCGCCGUCAAAAUGACACCAUAAAUUUCCCUCACCCUCCUCUACUAGAAUAUAUUACCCUUUUCUUUCAAAUCUUAGCAGAGAUCCUCGAAUCUUCGUCGGAAGGUUUUCCGGCCAUGAUGCCAUUUACGCCAAAUGACCCCAAAUUAACAGCAUAGCCUCAUCUCCUCAUCCUUUACACGACCCGCCUAACCACUUGUCUCGAAUAUGGCCGGAAUUGCUCGAAUAUCAAAUCGAAUUUUUCUGGCCAAAACUUCAAUUGCUCCAAACCUUACCAGAUUGACACCAAAUGACCCCAUCGCCUUCCUCGUAGUGGAUUUUUGUCAAUAAAGCCCAAGGUUCGUCAGGAAUGGCCGAAUUUGAAAUGUGAAAUGUCAGCCGGAUUUCGAGCCAUGGCAGCGAGUUUCGUUUCCUUGUUUAAUUCUUUUAUUUUUACUUCUUUGAUCGCAUUCAUAUCGAGUUAUGUUGAUUCUGAUCCCAAUUGUGUGUCUGAUUGUUGUCUAAUUAGAUUGCAAUCUGUCUUGUUUGUCUUAGUUUAGUUUGAUUGUUAACAUGGUUUCAGAUUUAAAUUUGUUUUGAUAAUUGGCUAAUUUUGUUAGUUAGGUUUGGAUUUCAGUCUAAUUAGGUUCCAAUCAUUCUUUGAUAUGUGUUUUAACUUCAUGGUUUCAUUAUCUGAUUACUCUGAAGAUUGUUAGUUAAUUAGGUUUAAUGGUUAGAUAGCCAUAGUUAGGAUUGGGCAGGUUUAGAUUAAUUUAGUAGUUUCAAAUAAGUUCGAGGGUAUUUCAGGUAACUAGUAGGAUACAGAAACGUUGUAGAAUCUACCUGAAACUCCUAGAACCUUCUAGAUAGGGGUAUACUUAGAAUUUGAGGAAGUUUGAGGCACUAACUUGUGUGACAAGUCUAAAGAAUGUGGGAUUAAACUGAGAAUGCACAGGGGCUAAAAGGAAAACUAAAAUUCUGUGCUCACUUCUUGGUUGCCUAUAAAAGGCAUCACAAAUACCUUGUUGAGGCUCUUCUUUUUUAGCCAUAAAAAAAUAGUUCCUUCUAUAGUCCUUUUCCUUUAGAUUUUAGAGACAGAUUUGAAAUCCAAAUAUCAAAAAAUAAAAAAAGUAAAAAACAAACGAAAACCAAAAAAUAGUUACUGUUUCAUUGCUAGUUAAGUUCUUUUCAAGUUUCACGUGUGUCUGUCCAGUUCUGCUCUACUUCUGAGUUUAUCAAGGGUACUCAAGGUUAUGUGAUAGCUGGUUUGAAAGGAUUUUGGAUCGGUCAUACUAGCUGAGUUCAGUUUCGAAGUCCUUUGGAUGUUUGUUGGGUCUUUGUGUUGCUAUUCAAGCUCAUCUGAAUCACUUGAAUGUGUUGGCUGGUUUCCUGUUGAAAUUUCUGUUUGAUUUGAGUCCCAAUCCUCCCUAUUGCUGGUUGUUUCUGUAGUAUCUGCUGCUGCUGUGUUGUGUUGAAUUUACUGCUGUUGCGCUACUGCCCAGCUGACUUUCCCUUUCUCUUAUUUUGCUCCAAUUUCCAGGUACAUGUUCUAAGGCUCUCAAAUAUAUGGAAAUAGAGUGACUGAAUUGCUUUGAAGUGGAUCCUUGAACCCUCACUAUUUUGGCUUAAGUUUACAUGUGUGAAUCAGUAGUUUACUCGACUUUUCAUGCUAGUUGUUGAAUUAUUCAUGGACUGUAUAAUUUGGAUUAUUAAAUGUGAAUCAUGUUCUAUUAUUUGCCUAGUAAGGGUGUUCAUAAUAUGUGUUCGAGUACCAACUACAAUUCGUUUCGUUAUAGGUUAGUUGAAAGCAGAUUCCGUCUGAAUUUGUUUGAAAGUGAUUCAAUAAUAAGAAUGACCUUUAUUCUGCGCUUAAUUUGUAAUCAAAUGAAGUUGUUCAAAAUAUGUCCUUAAUUGUAUUGAAUGGCCUGGAAAAAGGAUUAGUUUGCUUAUGGAGUAUCUCAUGUUGUUUCCACAUUGAUAAAUAAAAGGGGAAGAGAGUUGAAUUCUAAUUACGGAUGCAAAUUUUAAUUGGACCUAGAGUUGUUAAAUUGCAAUGAGUAGUUUGAGUAAUCAAUUUUAAGAAAUGUAGUGUUAGUUUUAUAAAUUAAUAACGUGCUGCUGGAGUUCUUUGAUAAGGCAGCCUUGAGUUGGGUAUUAGCCAACUGGCAUAUGGCAUCAUAGCCUGCUCAACCCCAAGGAAAUCGAUCCUUCAACCU
RNAcentral lists this long non-coding RNA (2292 nucleotides) under Nicotiana benthamiana. Its description in RNAcentral is "long non-coding RNA (NBEN_LNC034068)". Lineage: Eukaryota; Viridiplantae; Streptophyta; Magnoliopsida; Solanales; Solanaceae. The record is from RNAcentral.